UACGUAGGGGGCAAGCGUUGUCCGGAUUUAUUGGGCGUAAAGAGCGUGUAGGCGGCUAGGUAGGUCCGUUGUGAAAACUCGAGGCUCAACCUCGAGACGUCGAUGGAAACCAUCUAGCUAGAGUCCGGAAGAGGAGAGUGGAAUUCCUGGUGUAGCGGUGAAAUGCGCAGAUAUCAGGAAGAACACCCGUGGCGAAGGCGGCUCUCUGGGCAGUAACUGACGCUGAGGAGCGAAAGCGUGGGGAGCGAACAGG
RNAcentral lists this ribosomal RNA (253 nucleotides) under uncultured bacterium. Its description in RNAcentral is "partial 16S ribosomal RNA". It matches the Rfam family "Bacterial small subunit ribosomal RNA", at positions 524 to 776 of the family's 1533-position model. The record is from RNAcentral.